GGGGGGAAGAUGUUUCCUUCCAGACCCCAUGGUAUUGAACUUACGGGCUCUUUUUCUUUCAUAAUUUUGGACCAUAAUAUCCCUACUCAAAUAUGCUAUUGUUAGAAAUACCCAUUGAUUCAUCUCUGCGCCUCUUCUCGCGCCUUCUUUCAUAGAUAGCAUUCUCCAAGAAAAACUAACCCGCCUCUUUUUCGCGCCUUUCAUCAGUCACAGAUCUAUAUACUGAUCCCCCUUCACUUACAAAGACCCCAAAGAACUCGAACAAAGCAUAUUCUUGCAAAGCAACUAUCAUUCAGGUUUGAACAAUAUCCAUUGUUUACCUUUUCUCAUUGUGUGAAUGGUAUAUGAUUUGAGCCUUUUCUUCUUCUUGUUUAUCUGGUGAUUGAUUAAUUGUGCUUUUGAUUUUGAUUGAUUCUUCAAUUGAUUUUGCUUUAGGGAUUCUAAACUAGCAAUAAGCUAUAAAAAAAACCCAGAUCUGUAAGAAGAAUCUUCAAUUAAUUUGAUAUGUAUAAAUGAGACAUCUUGAGUUUGUUUUUGAUGGUGAGAUAGAGGAUUUAUAUAUUGGUUAUGAGAAAUUUUGGAUAUUUAUAUUUGUGGAGUCCUUGAAAGUUAAUAUUCUGUGUAAUUUUCCAUUUGUGAUAUGUGGUUUUGUGGGAAAUCUUGUGAUGGAAAUUAGGUUUUACGAUAUCUAAUAAAACCUCCACUAAAGAGAAACAUGAUCAGGUGUUCAUUGUAUUUCAAUUAAAUACUUCAUGACUAAAAGAAACCAAUAAUGUCGUGCUUAGCUAUAUGUUAUUUGUAUGUCUUGCUUACUAGUAGUGAGUAUCAAAUACUCUUUUGGUAGCUUGGAUCUUGUAGUGUAUAUGUUUAGUUUGUCCACCUUAGUUAUAGGAGCUGCAUCUGUCAUGCACUUGUGUGUACAACUGAACUGUACAUCACACUGGUAUUGUUUUGUGUCAAUCAUAUUCUUAUGUUGGAGCUAUGGCUAGCAGAAUCUUGUCAAGGACUAAAAAGAUUCUUAGAAUGUUGGACGAUGUUAAGGAUUUAUUCAACUUUGUCAUCAUGAUAUACGUUAUCAUGUAUAUCAUUGCUGAAAGACAUUAUCGCAAGUACCGUCUGAAAUCAAAGUCUAUUAAUGAUUAUUUUUCAAGAGUCAGUAAUUUUCAACGCAUGGUGUAUGCGAGUGAUGUAAGGUGCGUAAAUGAGCUACGGAUGGAUAGGUAUACGUUUUGCAAAUUAUGCUCUAUGAUACGAACAUCUGGUAGAUUGCGAGAUACUAGAAAUGUUUCCAUGGAUGAAAUGAUAGCCAUGUUCUUGAACAUACUUGCACACGAUGAAAAGAAGCGAGUCAUACAAGACAAGUUUUUACGUUCAGGGGAAACUAUUAGUAGGUACUUUAAUGCAGUUUUAGAGGCAGUCAUAUGUCUUCAAGGACAAUUAUUAAAAUCACCAUAACCAGUGGCUGAGGACUCAACUGAUGAGAAAUGGAAAUUUUUUAAGAAUUGUCUUGGAGCGUUAGAUGAGACAUAUAUUAGAGUACAUGUACCUGAAGUUGAGAAGCCUAGGUACCGGUCUAGGAAGAAUGAAAUUGCUACUAAUGUCUUGGGAGUAUGCUCUCAAGAUAUGCAAUUCAUCUAUGUACUGCCAGGUUGGGAGGGUUCUGCUGCAGAUUCUAGAGUGCUUCGUGAUGCCAUUAGUAGGAGACAUGGUCUUAGAGUCCCUCACGGACAUUAUUAUCUUGUUGAUGCCGGAUAUCCAAAUGGGGAAGGCUUUCUUGCCCCAUUUAGAGGGCAGCGAUAUCAUUUAAACGAGUGGAGAGAAGGAUGCCAGCCUACCUCUGCUGAAUAGUUUUUUAAUAUGAAGCACUCAUCUGCUAGGAAUGUGAUAGAGAGGUGUUCUGGAUUACUUAAGUUACGGAUGAGUUCAGGAAAUGCUACUCGUAAAAGAAAGCAACCAGCUGAACAACACAACUGGACCCCUCGUGAAGAUGUUGCUCUAGUUGAGGCAUUAACAGAAAUAUGUCUUGGUGGCUACUGGAAGGUUGACAAUAGCUUCAGAUGUGGAUACUUGGGUAGACUUGAGCAGAUUAUAGAGCAGAAGAUACUAGGAUGUGGGCUUAAGGAAAAGCCCCAUAUUGAGUCUCGUUUGAGGACAUUGAAGAAACAAACACUUGCCAUCUACGACAUGCUUUCUAACUCAAGUAGUUUUUCAUGGAACCAUGAAGAGAAAAUGGUGGUAUGUGAAAAGUAAGUGUUUGACGAUUGGGUUAAGGUUCAUAAGGAUGCAAAAGGACUAAAAAUGAAACCAUUCAUUCAUUAUGAUAGCUUGAUUGAAGCUUUUGGAAGAGAUCGUGCAAAUGGACUAGGAGCUGAAGGACCGGGUGAAGCAGAUGAAGAUCUAAAUGACAAUGAUUAUGUUGAUAUUGAAGAACAUGGUUUGGAUGAAAACACAGGUUCUUCCAAUGUUAUUCGAACACCUGCAUUCCCACCUUUUGCUCGAACUAGGAAGCGAGCGAGAGAUGCUUAUUCUCAAUGUUUGGGAGACAUGGCUAUUACAUUACGCUCUUUUGUGGAUGUGACCAAUGCACAUUUGGAGACAAUGCAAGGAGUACUCAUGAAUGAGCAUAUGACAUCUGAAAGAAGAGGUAAGAUAGUUGAGGAGCUUAUGAAAAUUGAAGGCAUAAAUGAUUAUGAUGUGUUAGAUGCAGUUGCUGAGAUUAUUCGAGAUGACUCCAAGAUUAACCUCUUGUUCACUUUGCCUGCCAACCUAAAAAUUAAAUGGAUCCAUAACUUGCUUGCCCAAGUUAGGAAAUAAUUGUUGGGUUGAGUUUUCUUUUGUAUUGCUCCUGAGAAUAUGGUGACUUGAGUAAUUAUAUUUUGAACUUAUUUAAAGACUUACCUAUGUUAUCUAUGUUGGAAUUCUGAUCAAUAUAAGGUUAUUAUAUAUUAUGAACAUUAACUAUGGUAUUGAAGAGAUAUGGAUGAUGUUUUGAAUCAA
This is an RNA transcript of Argentina anserina (silverweed cinquefoil), 2997 nucleotides long. RefSeq lists it as uncharacterized. The record is from RefSeq and is a predicted model, not a curated record. The transcript has 5 exons. Lineage: Eukaryota; Viridiplantae; Streptophyta; Magnoliopsida; Rosales; Rosaceae.